UUUUUGUGUGCAUGUGCAUGAGAAAAGACAUUUCUCUGUUUCUUCCAGAUCGUGAAGGUCUUGAACCUUUACACUCCAGUCAAUGAGUUUGAGGAAAGAGUAUCGAUUGCAUUCAUAAGAACCAUACAGACUCGUUUGCGAGACCGGUGUGAGAGUCCUCAGCUGUUGAUGGACACAAAGAUGAUAUAUCCAGUCACCUUCCCUUUCAAUCCAUCCUCCCUCGCCCUGGAAACCAUCCAGAUUCCGAGCUCUCUCAACCUAGGCUUUCUCGCCCGUGUCUAAAGAAGGACGUACAUGCAACAUCAACAUGUGCUGAACUUUCAACAUGUCUGUUCCACAUCCUCUGAGUGCACACACACACAUACACACAUUUACACUCACAUGCAUCUUUAUUUCACAAAUACAUCACAGUCACCAUCUCUGGUUUGAACCCUGCAGUAAAACGUCAUCGUCCAGCCACUGCUUGUAUAAACGCCAGCCUCUUAGAGAAGCCACAGCACCAGCUCAGUGCCCCAGUACUCGUCUCUGUUGGCCCUUGGGUUUACCCCAGAACUGUUUUUGUCUCCUCAACACUUGUACUUCCCCACAUCCCUAAACUGCGUUCUCAUUGUUGACUUAUCUUGAGUAGGAACAUACCCACACACAUGGUCUUUAGGCCUUACCGUGAGGAAUAAGGUGAUGCGGGUUGGCUGGUCUGGUUUGUUUGCAAAGCCACAGAGCUGAUUGUAUGUUGUCAUUUCACUCUGACUACAAGAGUAGCCAAGACAGAAGUCAUCUGUACAAUGUUAUUUAUACAUAUCUAUAAAUAAUAUCUUGUAAUUUAUUUAUUGCAUUCACUUAGCCAACCCCUCCCCC
Thalassophryne amazonica is the source of this 855-nucleotide long non-coding RNA. RefSeq lists it as uncharacterized. Lineage: Eukaryota; Metazoa; Chordata; Actinopteri; Batrachoidiformes; Batrachoididae. The record is from RefSeq and is a predicted model, not a curated record. The transcript has 2 exons.